UCUGUAAAGCUCCUUCAACGAGUCGAGUAGUUUGGGAAUGCUGCUCUAAAUGGGAGGUAUAUGUCUUCUAAAGCUAAAUACCGGCCAGAGACCGAUAGCGCACAAGUAGAGUGAUCGAAAGAUGAAAAGCACUUUGAAAAGAGAGUUAAAAAGUACGUGAAAUUGUUGAAAGGGAAGCGUUUAUGACCAGACUUGGGCUUGUUUAAUCAUCCGGGCUUCUGCCCGGUGCACUUGUUCAGCUCAGGCCAGCAUCAGUUUUCCCCGGGGGAUAAAGGCGGCGGGAAUGUGGCUCUCUUCGGGGAGUGUUAUAGCCCACCGUGUAAUACCCUGGGGGGGACUGAGGUUCGCGCAUCUGCAAGGAUGCUGGCGUAAUGGUCAUCAACGACCCGUCUUGAAACACGGACCAAGGAGUCGUCUUCGUAUGCGAGUGUUCGGGUGUCAAACCCCUACGCGUAAUGAAAGUGAACGCAGGUGAGAGCUUCGGCGCAUCAUCGACCGAUCCUGAUGUUCUCGGAUGGAUUUGAGUAAGAGCAUACGGGGCCGGACCCGAAAGAAGGUGAACUAUGCCUGUAUAGGGUGAAGCCAGAGGAAACUCUGGUGGAGGCUCGCAGCGGUUCUGACGUGCAAAU
This is a ribosomal RNA of 629 nucleotides. It matches the Rfam family "Eukaryotic large subunit ribosomal RNA", at positions 243 to 898 of the family's 3401-position model.